AGUGAACGCUGGCGGUAGGCCUAACACAUGCAAGUCGAACGGCAGCACAGUAAGAGCUUGCUCUUACGGGUGGCGAGUGGCGGACGGGUGAGGAAUACAUCGGAAUCUACUUUUUCGUGGGGGAUAACGUAGGGAAACUUACGCUAAUACCGCAUACGACCUACGGGUGAAAGCAGGGGAUCUUCGGACCUUGCGCGAUUGAAUGAGCCGAUGCCGGAUUAGCUAGUUGGCGGGGUAAAGGCCCACCAAGGCGACGAUCCGUAGCUGGUCUGAGAGGAUGAUCAGCCACACUGGAACUGAGACACGGUCCAGACUCCUACGGGAGGCAGCAGUGGGGAAUAUUGGCCAAUGGGCGCAAGCCUGAUCCAGCCAUACCGCGUGGGUGAAGAAGGCCUUCGGGUUGUAAAGCCCUUUUGUUGGGAAAGAAAAGCAGCAGGUUAAUACCCCGCUGUUCUGACGGUACCCAAAGAAUAAGCACCGGCUAACUUCGUG
Molecule: ribosomal RNA, 492 nt
Filed under: uncultured bacterium
Lineage: Bacteria
Description: partial 16S ribosomal RNA
Rfam family: Bacterial small subunit ribosomal RNA
Source: RNAcentral